Molecule: ribosomal RNA, 930 nt
Filed under: uncultured Armatimonadota bacterium
Lineage: Bacteria; Bacillati; Armatimonadota
Description: bacterial SSU rRNA
Rfam family: Bacterial small subunit ribosomal RNA
Source: RNAcentral
GGGUUUUUAAGUUGGGGGUGAAAUCCCGGAGCUUAACUCCGGAACUGCCUCCAAAACUGGGAGCCUUGAGGUAUGGAGAGGGAAGUGGAAUUCCUGGUGUAGCGGUGAAAUGCGUAGAUAUCAGGAGGAACACCCGUGGCGAAGGCGGCUUCCUGGCCAUAUCCUGACGCUGAGGUGCGAAAGCUAGGGGAGCGAACGGGAUUAGAUACCCCGGUAGUCCUAGCCGUAAACGAUGGAUACUAGGUGUUAGAGGUAUCGACCCCUCUAGUGCCGAAGCUAACGCAUUAAGUAUCCCGCCUGGGGAGUACGGCCGCAAGGCUGAAACUCAAAGGAAUUGACGGGGGCCCGCACAAGCGGUGGAGCAUGUGGUUUAAUACGUCACUAACCGUAGAACCUUACCCAGGCUUGACAUCUGGGGAAUCCUGGUGAAAGCCGGGAGUGCUGUUUACAGAACCCCAAGACAGGUGUUGCAUGGCUGUCGUCAGCUCGUGUCGUGAGAUGCUGGGUUAAGUCCCGCAACGAGCGCAACCCUCAUCCGAUGUUGCCAGCGUAAAGUCGGGAACUCUUCGGAAACUGCCCGUGUAAGCGGGAGGAAGGUGGGGAUGACGUCAAGUCAGCAUGGCCCUUACGCCUGGGGCUACACACAUGCUACAAUGGGCGUUAACAAAGGGCAGCAAUACCGCGAGGUGGAGCGAAUCUCAAAAAUACGUCCUCAGUUCGGAUUGCAGUCUGCAACUCGACUGCAUGAAGUCGGAAUCGCUUAGUAACCGCAGGUCAGCUAAACUGCGGUGAAUACGUUCCCGGGCCUUGUACACACCGCCCGUCACGCCACCUGAGUUGUCUGCACCCGAAGCUCGUGGCCCAACCCGCAAGGGGGGGAGCGAUCGAAGGUGUGGGGAGCGAGGGGGACGAAGUCGUAACAAGGUAACC